GCCUGGUUGGCUCAGUCGGUAGAGCAUGAGACUCUUAAUCUCAGGGUCAUGAAUUCAAGCCCCACGUUAGGCA
RNAcentral lists this transfer RNA (73 nucleotides) under Canis lupus familiaris (dog). It matches the Rfam family "tRNA". From Rfam's summary of the family: Transfer RNA (tRNA) molecules are approximately 80 nucleotides in length. Their secondary structure includes four short double-helical elements and three loops (D, anti-codon, and T loops). Lineage: Eukaryota; Metazoa; Chordata; Mammalia; Carnivora; Canidae. RNAcentral also lists the same sequence under 1 other name. The record is from Rfam by way of RNAcentral.